CAGAGAGCUUGCUCUCGGGUGACGAGCGGCGGACGGGUGAGUAAUGUCUGGGAAACUGCCUGAUGGAGGGGGAUAACUACUGGAAACGGUAGCUAAUACCGCAUAACGUCGCAAGACCAAAGUGGGGGACCUUCGGGCCUCAUGCCAUCAGAUGUGCCCAGAUGGGAUUAGCUAGUAGGUGGGGUAAUGGCUCACCUAGGCGACGAUCCCUAGCUGGUCUGAGAGGAUGACCAGCCACACUGGAACUGAGACACGGUCCAGACUCCUACGGGAGGCAGCAGUGGGGAAUAUUGCACAAUGGGCGCAAGCCUGAUGCAGCCAUGCCGCGUGUGUGAAGAAGGCCUUCGGGUUGUAAAGCACUUUCAGCGGGGAGGAAGGCGUUAAGGUUAAUAACCUUGUCGAUUGACGUUACCCGCAGAAGAAGCACCGGCUAACUCCGUGCCAGCAGCCGCGGUAAUACGGAGGGUGCAAGCGUUAAUCGGAAUUACUGGGCGUAAAGCGCACGCAGGCGGUCUGUCAAGUCGGAUGUGAAAUCCCCGGGCUCAACCUGGGAACUGCAUUCGAAACUGGCAGGCUAGAGUCUUGUAGAGGGGGGUAGAAUUCCAGGUGUAGCGGUGAAAUGCGUAGAGAUCUGGAGGAAUACCGGUGGCGAAGGCGGCCCCCUGGACAAAGACUGACGCUCAGGUGCGAAAGCGUGGGGAGCAAACAGGAUUAGAUACCCUGGUAGUCCACGCCGUAAACGAUGUCGAUUUGGAGGUUGUGCCCUUGAGGCGUGGCUUCCGGAGCUAACGCGUUAAAUCGACCGCCUGGGGAGUACGGCCGCAAGGUUAAAACUCAAAUGAAUUGACGGGGGCCCGCACAAGCGGUGGAGCAUGUGGUUUAAUUCGAUGCAACGCGAAGAACCUUACCUGGUCUUGACAUCCACAGAACUUUCCAGAGAUGGAUUGGUGCCUUCGGGAACUGUGAGACAGGUGCUGCAUGGCUGUCGUCAGCUCGUGUUGUGAAAUGUUGGGUUAAGUCCCGCAACGAGCGCAACCCUUAUCCUUUGUUGCCAGCGGUUAGGCCGGGAACUCAAAGGAGACUGCCAGUGAUAAACUGGAGGAAGGUGGGGAUGACGUCAAGUCAUCAUGGCCCUUACGACCAGGGCUACACACGUGCUACAAUGGCAUAUACAAAGAGAAGCGACCUCGCGAGAGCAAGCGGACCUCAUAAAGUAUGUCGUAGUCCGGAUUGGAGUCUGCAACUCGACUCCAUGAAGUCGGAAUCGCUAGUAAUCGUAGAUCAGAAUGCUACGGUGAAUACGUUCCCGGGCCUUGUACACACCGCCCGUCACACCAUGGGAGUGGGUUGCAAAAGAAGUAGGUAGCUU
This 1369-nucleotide ribosomal RNA is filed under the name Klebsiella sp. 87C.1. Its description in RNAcentral is "bacterial SSU rRNA". It matches the Rfam family "Bacterial small subunit ribosomal RNA", at positions 72 to 1436 of the family's 1533-position model. Lineage: Bacteria; Pseudomonadati; Pseudomonadota; Gammaproteobacteria; Enterobacterales; Enterobacteriaceae. The record is from RNAcentral.